AUCGUCGCUGUUAUUGCAAAAUGUUCUAUGUCAUCGAAAAUUGAUUUUGAGAUUUUGAUUAUAGAUUCAAAGUACGAAAUAUAUAUUCGAUGACAUAGAACAUUUUGCAAUAACAGCGACUAC
This 123-nucleotide microRNA precursor is filed under the name Plutella xylostella (diamondback moth). RNAcentral's name for it is "microRNA pxy-mir-8537 precursor (pxy-mir-8537-1)". Lineage: Eukaryota; Metazoa; Arthropoda; Insecta; Lepidoptera; Plutellidae. The record is from miRBase by way of RNAcentral.